UAACCUGCCCUUAUCUGGGAGAUAGCCCUUCGAAAGGAGGAUUAAUAUCCCAUAAUAUAAUUGGAUGGCAUCAUUUGAUUAUUAAAGCUCCGGCGGAUAAGGAUGGGCAUGCGUUCUAUUAGUUAGUUGGUGAGGUAACGGCUCACCAAGACUUCGAUAGAUAGCUGGUCUGAGAGGAUGAUCAGCCACACGGGCACUGAGACACGGGCCCG
RNAcentral lists this ribosomal RNA (212 nucleotides) under uncultured bacterium. RNAcentral describes it as "partial 16S ribosomal RNA". It matches the Rfam family "Bacterial small subunit ribosomal RNA", at positions 122 to 334 of the family's 1533-position model. The record is from RNAcentral.